AUGGGGUACAUUUUGCUAAGAAUGGGAGACCAUAUUGGCACAUGGAUGUGAAGAGUGCAACUGCAAGACUGAGGAGGAGUUUAUGUAUCUUUCCUUUCCUGCAACAAUUAAAGGUAGGCAUCACCUUAGUAAUCAAGUAAUUUUUUUAUGUGUUGGCAUUUUGGCGUUUCUUUAUUAUAGAGCAUGAAUCCAGGAUACCCUUUGGGGUGUAAUUCUAUUAUAUACCCUCAAGUUAGGGUGCAUCCUGGAUCUCUUGUCUGUUACUGUUGGAUAUAAUAAAAUAAAUAGACGUUACUUAUUUUGUUCAAAUCCUAUGGUUAUGCACCCUACAUUAAUGGGUGCGUUGUAGAAUUCCUCACAGUUUGGGGUCAUGCUGCAACUUUAGUUCAUUGGAUGCUAUCAUUUAUUGAUUUUGAUAUUUUUUUCUAUAUUUUUGGCCUUAGCAGCUGAACACACAUCUUGAUAACCUCAUUUGGCAACUACUUGCCACAUGUUUUCAUUGGACAAUGCAUUUGUGGUCAGUAUAGAACAUUAAAUCAUGAUAUUUUUUCCUUUGACUCUUAUGUGUUUUUAAAAGUUAAGGAUGUGUAAUAUGUUGAGGCGAGGGUUGGAUAUCAUUGCUUACUGAUUGAUGAGAUUGUAGAGUCUGAGGAUCUUGUGUAGCACAUGAUUGUAAAGGCUUCCCAAUACCCCGCCUAUGAUACCAAUGACUACAACGAUGACAAUAUCCAUAACAUGGUACCUCACGGUGACAUUGCUUACAUCAAACAUAAUCAGACCUCCUUCACCAAAAAGGCCACAUUUUCCAGAAUGGCAGAUUUCAAUGAAGGCCCUGAGAACCACCACCACCACAGCUGUGCUAAAAAAGGUUCUCCACAGUAGAGCACUUCUCCACCAGGUUGCCACCUCUUCAAGAGCAAAGAGAACUCCACCCACUGGAGCCCGGAAAGCUGC
This 954-nucleotide long non-coding RNA is filed under the name Vigna radiata. Its description in RNAcentral is "long non-coding RNA (VRAD_LNC018051)". Lineage: Eukaryota; Viridiplantae; Streptophyta; Magnoliopsida; Fabales; Fabaceae. The record is from RNAcentral.